RNAcentral lists this long non-coding RNA (3034 nucleotides) under Nicotiana benthamiana. RNAcentral's name for it is "long non-coding RNA (NBEN_LNC023004)". The record is from RNAcentral. Lineage: Eukaryota; Viridiplantae; Streptophyta; Magnoliopsida; Solanales; Solanaceae.
UCAGAGAUAAGAGUUUGAAAGUAGCAAAGGUUUUCAAAAUUUAAAUAGUAGGUUUCGAGAGGAUAUUGUUUAGCAACUUAUCAGUGAAAGCAGAAGGUUAUAUUAAGACUAAGUGACUAGAGAUAGCAGUGAGAUUUCCGAAAUACAACUAAAGACUCAGUAAGAUUCAAAGGUAUACAGCAGAUGGAAAUCGUUAUAACACAUUUUUAGAAAAUAAAGUAAGAACAUUGAAGAUAUAGUAACUUGGCUAAAUGUAGGAUAAGUAUAUUAAAUAGCAUAAUUCUGGGCAAAAAGGAUCAUCCACUGGUUUGAAAACAUAGUGGAACAAAUAUCAGUGAGAGUAAGCAGAUACACAAUUUCCAUAAUUGCUUCAAAAUAGGGCGUGAGUUUUAGUAAAAUCGAGUGAACUUUAUAGAGGCAAAACUAGAAGCAGAGUUCAGGAUAUUAAAGGAAGCUGAUGGGUCCUAAGCCAGCAAAACAUGAUUAGUCAAUUCUUAUUAGGCAUAAAGUUUGCCUAGGCGUCGUAUAUAUUGCCUACUUGUCUUAAAGGGUCAACAUGCAUAUUAAUCUCCAGUUUUAAAAAGGGUACACAUACAGUACUUGUGUUAUAAGAUUAGACAUGCUAAUAGGCAUAAUUGUAACUCAGACUAGUAGAGAACCUUAAAUAAAAGGAUGCCUAAUGCACAUAGAAGUUCCUGAAACAUGAUUUCUAAAUUCUAAUGAGAAUGAAAUACAGCAGUUGCCUUAUAGUUAUUUGCUUAUUACAAUUAUUAGCUUGUUAUUAACUGAUCAUGGUUUCAACAUAAGAAUAAGAAUAGGAUGAAUGUAAAGUACCUAGAGCAAGAUCUCUAAUGAAUGAGAUGCAAGUCUUAUGCAGGAUAUCUAUUGCACAAAUAAGUAAAUAAAAUCCUAUAAGCAUGUUUUCUACCCAUUACUUAAACUAAGCAUGCAUAACCCCGACCCAAUUUCUCUAUAACCCCCAAUAAGCCCUGUACAAGUAAUUACAAACCAUGAGAGCUGAGUUACAUAAAUAAGAACAAAAUAAGAAGUAAUUAUAUGGGGAGCCUUCAAUCAAGCCUAAUAUUCCAACCUCACUCCUUUCGAGUUUCACAACCUUUUCCAUGCUCUGGGUGCGGCAAAGCUCCCUAAGGCCCCCAUUAGGUCCCUGGCCAAUACUAGCACCAAAACACUUACCAAAAUUGUUGGACAGGUGCAGUGUGGAAUUAUCAGCCUUGUGCAUCAAAGUUCACUGAGUACUCAGAGGUACCCAAUGCAGUGCUUACACGAAGGGAUAGAACAUAAUCUCAAAUAGUAGUGCGAAGUGCAGGAAGGAGAGGAAAGUUGGUAUUUUGAUUUGGAGAGUUGCACACAAGGGUAAUGGGCAAAGGGGGACAAAUAUAUCACAUGCAAACUCACAUAAUUAAAAGAGAUUUAAGAGGUCUUGAAAUAGACAAGUUGAGGCACAAAAGUAACUAGUAACAACAUGCAGUCAUAACAAGUAAAAGUAGUCAUGAGCAUGUAAGUAUCAAUAGGUUAACCAGGAAUUAAUCACAUGUUGAAAAGCAGAAGCACAAGUAGAAAACAAUUAAGAAUAGAACAUACUGAAGUAGCAAUAACCACAUUGGUUUGGAACAUAGAAUUUAAACAGGACAUACAAGCAACAAAGAGAGCACAACAGAAUACAAGAGCCAAUUAUAAGCACGAUAUUAGCCUUAGACUUUCAACUGGCUAGAGAGAGUAAGGAGUAGGGAGCAGCAACAGCACAAUAGAGAAAAGGAAAGAAAUAGCACGAGAGAGAGAGAGAGAGCAAUGUGAUUACUCUAUGUGUAUGUGUUUGUGAUAUGCAAUUUGUUCGUGUCAGUGUCCUCUUUAUGCAAAAGAGAAUGGGGAGUACUUAAAGUACUGAAUACGAUUAAAUAAAUAAGGUGGCAGUCAGUUAAUUAAGGAACUGGCAUCAAUCACAAUUAAAUCAGUACAUGGACUUCGCUUUAAUUAAGGAAUCCAAAUCAAACGGUAAUAAUCAGUCAUUUAAAAGGAAAAAAAUUAUAGAGAAGGGUAUAAUAACAUAAGUAGCACAAAGUAUGCAAUAAAGACUAGGUACAUGACACUCUAAUUAGGGAAAUAGGUCAGGCAAAUCAAUCAACAAAUUUGUGCACAUAUAUAGGGAAAAAUACCACUAUAUUUCUGGAAAACGAGAUUGAAAACCUAGGAAAUAGGUAUUAAUCGAGGAAAGUAUCCCACAAAUUAAGGAAGCAGUUCAAACUAUAAGGAAAAUACGUAGAAUCACAAUUUUAAAGCAAGUAUCACAACCUCAAAGAGGGCUCGAAGAACCACUAUAAAAUCACCAUAUAAGCAAUCAGAAAAACUUUAAGCAAGGAAUACAUAAUGGUAGGGGAAUGAAACACUAACAACAAAAUUAAAGCAAAGAGCAUGGAACUCGGAGAAGAACUCAGAAUAACACACAAACAAUCAAAUCAUGAAAACACAAACAUACAAAGUUAGGGUUUAUCAGACUUAAGCAAAACGUUUGGAGAGAAUCACGAACUAGUACUCAAAAUUAGAAAAAAGUGAUUUCGAAAUAACGGUUCAGAAACCCUAGUUUCAAAAGAGGAACAAAAACGUUUAAAAUCGGAGUAAUCGUAAAGAUCGAGUAGAAAAUAGUGCAAAACAUAAAGGUAUGAGUCAAAAACAUUAAAAAUCAGAGGUUUGAGAGGUUUGGAUUGAGAUUAGGGUUUCAUAUGAAACCAGUGAGAGAAACAAAAGAAACCUGGCUAUGAAACUCGAGAAUAAUGGUGUUUACAAAGCCAUCGGACCAAAUCCAUCGGAGAAAGGCCAGAAACCAACUAGAACAAAGCUUCACUGACCGUCUUGUAUGGCGGAUACCCGUGGGGUCUCAAAGACAGACAGAAUCAGUAAGGUAAGGCUUCACGGCGGCUGGUGGUCGAAAGAGCUGAGGUUGGAGGUGGCCGAAGAGUCAAUGAAAGCCAUCGGAGAAGGUGAACCAGAAGGUUCUAGAGAGAAGGAGGAGAGACAG